CCCUCUUUCAGCUCAAGUCUACCUCACAAUCAUUCUGAAAAAUCCUCUUAAAUGUGUGUGUGCAGCUGUGAGAAGAAGAAAGGGAGUGUGUGUUGCAGAGCGAGACAGAGGAGAGAGAGAGAGGGACAAGCAACUGUGAUCUGCCCAUGCCGGCUCUCACUACAUAUCAGGGGGAAACUGGAGGAUUUUAGAGCCGACAGUUCAAUUCCUACCAAAUCAUUGAACACUAUCUGUAUUUUCCAUAGGGCCCAUAAAAUGUUUAUAUACAUUCACUAUAAAUCUAUAAAUAUGUCAAUCAUUUUCUCAUACAACUGUCAUAAAAACCGGUUGCGUAGAUCACAAAUCGACGUACCUUCAGGACACUGACAAUAAAGAUGGAUAGUGACAGAGAAGGUAGAAAUUCUCGUAGCUCUCCUCAGAGAAACGCUUGUUACACACACACAGUUUGAUUGUG
This is a long non-coding RNA of Rhinichthys klamathensis goyatoka, 454 nucleotides long. RefSeq lists it as uncharacterized. The record is from RefSeq and is a predicted model, not a curated record. The transcript has 2 exons. Lineage: Eukaryota; Metazoa; Chordata; Actinopteri; Cypriniformes; Leuciscidae.